This 900-nucleotide ribosomal RNA is filed under the name Triticum aestivum (bread wheat). Its description in RNAcentral is "partial small subunit ribosomal RNA". Lineage: Eukaryota; Viridiplantae; Streptophyta; Magnoliopsida; Poales; Poaceae. The record is from RNAcentral.
AUGGAUUUUACAUUCGCUUUGCUUGAUACUAUCACGAAGAGUUUCUCAGAGGAACAAAAAAUUGCCAGUGGUGGGUAUGGAGAUAUUUACAGGGCGGUGCAUAAUGGGGAAGAGAUUGCUGUGAAGAGGCUUCAUCAUUUCCAAGGACUUGAUGAUCAGCAAUUUCAAAAUGAAUUCCGUAACCUCAGCAAGGUCUCUCACAAAAAUGUUAUACGGUUAAUUGGCUACUGCUAUGAAUCACGGAGUAAAUAUAUGAAACACAACGGGGAACUUGUGUUUGCUAAAAUGAUGGAGCGACUACUCUGCUUUGAAUAUAUGCAGGGCGGAAGCCUUGAGAAAUACAUCGCAGACGAACCAUGUAGACUUGACUGGCCCACAUGUUAUAAAAUCAUUCAAGGGAUCUGUGACGGCUUAAAUCACCUUCACAAUGCACAGGAAAAAGCAAUUUUCCAUCUGGACUUGAAGCCUUCGAAUAUAUUGCUGGGUAAAAACAUGACUCCCAAGAUUUCAGGUUUUGAUUUGUCUGUUGAUUCAACAGAAGGAAUGGACCCGAUAGCGAUGAGAAGAGGAACACUUGAGUACAUGCCACCAGAAUACAUAGACAGCGGCAUCAUAUCAAACAAGUUUGACGUGUUCAGUUUGGGCAGCAUUAUUAUAAGAAUGAUGGACGGACAUGGGGGUCCUUACCGUUAUUCUGAAAUGUCUCCCAACCAGUUUAUUGAAUAUGUAAGUGAAAACUGGAAGAAAAGGUUGGAGAAAUUGUCGGAGCAUUCAUCAUACGAGAUGGAUAUCCUACAAGUGCAGGCAUGUGUUGAGAUAGCAUUUAGAUGCUUGGAAGCCGAUCGAAACAAAAGGCCUAGUAUAGAGGAAAUUAUAUGUGAACUGGGGUUAAGACAGUAA